Molecule: small nuclear RNA, 141 nt
Organism: Engraulis encrasicolus (European anchovy)
Lineage: Eukaryota; Metazoa; Chordata; Actinopteri; Clupeiformes; Engraulidae
Product: U4 spliceosomal RNA
Exons: 1
Source: RefSeq, a predicted model, not a curated record
GGCGUAGUUCAGUGGCAAUGUCAUAGCCUAUGAGGUUCAUUCCGAGGUCCGAUUAUUGCUAGUUGAAGACUUAACCCUAUUCCCGCUUUGACAACUUGAAAUAUAGUCAGUAAUGGCAAUUUAUGAUUGUCUCUCCGGAGA